Molecule: ribosomal RNA, 260 nt
Filed under: uncultured bacterium
Lineage: Bacteria
Description: partial 16S ribosomal RNA
Rfam family: Bacterial small subunit ribosomal RNA
Source: RNAcentral
GUCCACGCAGUAAACGAUGCAGACUAGGCGUGGGGGACUUGACCCCUCCGUGCCGGAGCUAACGCGGUAAGUCUGCCGCCUGGGGAGUACGGCCGCAAGGCUAAAACUCAAAGGAAUUGACGGGGGCCCGCACAAGCGGCGGAGCGUGCGGUUUAAUUCGACGCAACGCGCAGAACCUUACCAGGGCUUGACAUGCACCUGCAGAGCGCCGAAAGGCGAUGUCCUUCGAGGGUGGUUCACAGGUGCUGCAUGGCUGUCGU